UUUAUUCUCAUUACAAGCCUAAAGUGAAAACAAUGAUAUCAUCUUAUUUAAGGGGGUAAAUGAGUCUUGUUUGAAGUUGUGUGGGGUUGAAUUAGCAUAAAUAUGAUAUUUCAAAAGUUGACCGAAAAGAAAAAAAUAGAAAAAAACACAAAGAAGGAAGAAAAUUCAUGUUCUUAUCUUAUCCCUUAAAAAAAGGAAAAGAGAAGAAAAAAUGACUGCAAAGAAGUUGAUGGAAAGUAAAUGAAAUAUUGUUUAGUUCAACUCCCACAGUCCAUUCCAAUUCUCUUUUAUCCCUUUAAAUCUUAGCCUAGUACCCCUUAGGAU
RNAcentral lists this long non-coding RNA (324 nucleotides) under Lathyrus oleraceus (garden pea). RNAcentral describes it as "Pisum sativum (pea) long non-coding RNA (PSAT_LNC019212)". The record is from RNAcentral. Lineage: Eukaryota; Viridiplantae; Streptophyta; Magnoliopsida; Fabales; Fabaceae.